RNAcentral lists this long non-coding RNA (278 nucleotides) under Trifolium pratense (red clover). RNAcentral's name for it is "long non-coding RNA (TPRA_LNC006650)". The record is from RNAcentral. Lineage: Eukaryota; Viridiplantae; Streptophyta; Magnoliopsida; Fabales; Fabaceae.
UGAAAUCAUCAUAUAAGUCGCGAAUACAUACAAAGCAUUAAACACAAUGAAUAAUCAAAGAAACUAACUUCGUAAUUCAUUGAUCAUAUCAAAUGAUAAUCACAUGGUUCAAGAUAAAUUGAAAUUAGAAUUCCCUAAGGACCAAUUAGAGUUUACCUACUCAUGAUAAAAUAAGAUAAAACAAAGGGAAGAAGAAAAUUGAACCAAAGAAGUCAUAAGCUUGCAACCACUAUCUUCAAUUCUCCAUUCCUUUUCACUGUACGCAGCUUUUUCCUCUU